Molecule: ribosomal RNA, 486 nt
Filed under: uncultured bacterium
Lineage: Bacteria
Description: partial 16S ribosomal RNA
Rfam family: Bacterial small subunit ribosomal RNA
Source: RNAcentral
AUUGAACGCUGGCGGCAUGCCUUACACAUGCAAGUCGAACGGCAGCACGGGUGCUUGCACCUGGUGGCGAGUGGCGAACGGGUGAGUAAUACAUCGGAACAUGUCCUGUAGUGGGGGAUAGCCCGGCGAAAGCCGGAUUAAUACCGCAUAUGAUCCACGGAUGAAAGCGGGGGACCUUCGGGCCUCGCGCUAUAGGGUUGGCCGAUGGCUGAUUAGCUAGUUGGUGGGGUAAAGGCCUACCAAGGCGACGAUCAGUAGCUGGUCUGAGAGGACGACCAGCCACACUGGGACUGAGACACGGUCCAGACUCCUACGGGAGGCAGCAGUGGGGAAUUUUGGACAAUGGGCGAAAGCCUGAUCCAGCAAUGCCGCGUGUGUGAAGAAGGCCUUCGGGUUGUAAAGCACUUUUGUCCGGAAAGAAAUCCUUGACUCUAAUACAGUCGGGGGAUGACGGUACCGGAAGAAUAAGCACCGGCUAACUACGUG